Molecule: long non-coding RNA, 465 nt
Organism: Cygnus atratus (black swan)
Lineage: Eukaryota; Metazoa; Chordata; Aves; Anseriformes; Anatidae
Exons: 4
Source: RefSeq, a predicted model, not a curated record
CAUACACCGUAUUUCAGAGCAAGCUCUAGCAGUUCUCUCUACCAUGACAUUGCUACUUCAUCCUGGAAAUAAUUCACCUGGUGCAUCCUAAGACCACACUGGCUUUUUCACGGAGUUAUGUUAAUAGCUGAAAUUGUCAGAGUGAACAUGACUACAUGGGAAGAAGAGUGAAGAUUCAUGCCCAGAAAACAUUAUUCUUACCUCACACCAGUUUUACUUCGUGUUACUUCGUUGAACAUGCUAGGAUGAGAUCGGCUAGCUGUACAAUGUGACGAUCAGGAUAUUUACAGCACGGGAUGUGACCUUUGGCUGCCCUGGACUUACUCUACUGGAAGUAAGCGGAUUUGGUUUCUGCAGAGCUCAUCCACCUGCAAUGGUCACUAAUGGGGACUUCCCCAGGACAUGGCCCUGAAUGCUGCCAGUGUUGGUUUAACCUACUUCAAGAGGAACCUACCAGCUACGGAG